Molecule: ribosomal RNA, 253 nt
Filed under: uncultured bacterium
Lineage: Bacteria
Description: partial 16S ribosomal RNA
Rfam family: Bacterial small subunit ribosomal RNA
Source: RNAcentral
UACGUAGGGGGCAAGCGUUGUCCGGAUUUAUUGGGCGUAAAGAGCGUGUAGGCGGUUUAGUAGGUCCGCUGUGAAAACUCGAGGCUCAACCUCGAGACGCCGGUGGAAACCAUCAGACUAGAGUCCGGAAGAGGAGAGUGGAAUUCCUGGUGUAGCGGUGAAAUGCGCAGAUAUCAGGAAGAACACCCGUGGCUAAGGCGGCUCUCUAGUACGGUACUGACGCUGAGACGCGAAAGCGUGGGGAGCGAACAGG